CCUACGGGAGGCUGCAGUAGGGAAUCUUCGUCAAUGGGCGCAAGCCUGAACGAGCAAUGCCGCGUGAACGAGGAAGGUCUUCGGAUCGUAAAGUUCUGUUGAAGGGGAAAAAGAGCGGGGAGAGGAAAUGCUUUCUGAUUGAUAUUACCCUUCGAGGAAGUCACGGCUAACUACGUGCCAGCAGCCGCGGUCAUACGUAGGUGGCGAGCGUUAUCCGGAAUGAUGGGGCGGAAAGGGUGCGUAGGCGGCCUGCUUAGCCUGGAGUGAAAGGUGCCGGCUCAACCGGUACAGGCUCUGGGAGGUGGCGGGCUAGAGAGCAGGAGAGGGCGGUGGAACUCCAGGUGUAGCGGUAAAAUGCGGAGAUAUAUGGAAGAACACCAGUGGCGAAGGCGGCCGCCUGGCCUGUUACUGACGCUGAGGCACGAAAGCGUGGGGAGCAAAUAGGAUUAGAUACCCGAGUAGUC
Molecule: ribosomal RNA, 464 nt
Filed under: uncultured bacterium
Lineage: Bacteria
Description: partial 16S ribosomal RNA
Rfam family: Bacterial small subunit ribosomal RNA
Source: RNAcentral